Molecule: microRNA precursor, 90 nt
Filed under: Canis lupus dingo (dingo)
Lineage: Eukaryota; Metazoa; Chordata; Mammalia; Carnivora; Canidae
Description: mir-8799 microRNA precursor family
Rfam family: mir-8799 microRNA precursor family
Source: Rfam by way of RNAcentral
GGGGAGCGCCAGAUAUUAGGCUGUGUCCCCGGCGCCCUGUGCUCCUGGGCCUGCACUUUUGGAAUCCCACUCUCUGUUGGGAAGCUCCCU